AAACUUAAGCAUAUCAAUAAGCGGAGGAAAAGAAACUAACAAGGAUUCCCCUAGUAACUGCGAGUGAAGCGGGAAAAGCUCAAAUUUAAAAUCUGGUGGUCUUUGGCCAUCCGAGUUGUAAUUUAGAGAAGCGUCUUCCGCGCUGGACCGUGCACAAGUCUCCUGGAAUGGAGCGUCACAGAGGGUGAGAAUCCCGUCUUUGGCACGGACACACCAGGGCUUUUGUGAUGCGCUCUCGAAGAGUCGAGUUGUUUGGGAAUGCAGCUCAAAAUGGGUGGUGAACUCCAUCUAAAGCUAAAUAUUGGCGAGAGACCGAUAGCGAACAAGUACCGUGAGGGAAAGAUGAAAAGCACUUUGGAAAGAGAGUGAAACAGUACGUGAAAUUGUUGAAAGGGAAACGCUUGAAGUCAGUCGCGUCGACCGAGACUCAGCCUUGCCUUGGCUCGGUGUACUUCUCGGCCGACGGGUCAGCAUCAAUUUUGCCCCUUGGAUAAUGGCGAGGGAAAUGUGACACCUUUAUGGUGUGUUAUAGUCUCUUGUCGCAUGCAAGGGUUGGGAUUGAGGAACUCAGCACGCGCCUUUGGGUGUCGGGGCUUUGCCCACGAUACGUGCUUAGGAUGUUGGCGUAAUGGCUUUAAACGACCCGUCUUGAAACACGGACCAAGGAGUCUAACAUGCCUGCGAGUGUUCGGGUGGAAAACCCGUGCGCGCAAUGAAAGUGAAAGUCGGGACCUCUGUCGUGGAGGGCACCGACGCCCGGACCAGACCUUCUGUGACGGCUCUGCGGUAGAGCAUGCAUGUUAGGACCCGAAAGAUGGUGAACUAUGCCUGAAUAGGGUGAAGCCAGAGGAAACUCUGGUGGAGGCUCGUAGCGAUUCUGACGUGCAAAUCGAUCGUCAAAUUU
This 904-nucleotide ribosomal RNA is filed under the name Russula sp. Its description in RNAcentral is "partial 28S large subunit ribosomal RNA". It matches the Rfam family "Eukaryotic large subunit ribosomal RNA", at positions 30 to 912 of the family's 3401-position model. The record is from RNAcentral. Lineage: Eukaryota; Fungi; Basidiomycota; Agaricomycetes; Russulales; Russulaceae.